Ribosomal RNA from Otolemur garnettii (small-eared galago), 104 nucleotides. NCBI's taxonomy places the organism in Eukaryota, Metazoa, Chordata, Mammalia, Primates, Galagidae. The record is from Ensembl.
GUCUACAGCCAUGCCAUCCUGAACGUGCCUGAUCUUAGAAGCUAAGCAGGGUCGGGCCUGGUUAGUAUUUGGAUGGGAGACUAACAUAAUUAGUGAUUGAGCUC